RNAcentral lists this ribosomal RNA (255 nucleotides) under Pseudo-nitzschia fraudulenta. Its description in RNAcentral is "partial Bacterial large subunit ribosomal RNA". It matches the Rfam family "Bacterial large subunit ribosomal RNA", at positions 2673 to 2925 of the family's 2925-position model. The record is from RNAcentral. Lineage: Eukaryota; Bacillariophyta; Bacillariophyceae; Bacillariales; Bacillariaceae.
UGCUCCUAGUACGAGAGGACCGGAGUGGACGAACCUCUGGUGUUCCGGUUGUCACGCCAGUGGCAUUGCCGGGUAGCUACGUUCGGACGGGAUAACCGCUGAAAGCAUCUAAGCGGGAAGCCUCCCUCAAGAUGAGAUCUCCCUGGGGGCUUGACCCCCCUGAAGGGCCGUUGAAGACCACAACGUUGAUAGGCUGGGUGUGGAAGCGUUGUAAGGCGUGAAGCUAACCAGUACUAAUUGCCCGUGAGGCUUGAC